Molecule: ribosomal RNA, 522 nt
Filed under: uncultured Prochlorococcus sp.
Lineage: Bacteria; Bacillati; Cyanobacteriota; Cyanophyceae; Synechococcales; Prochlorococcaceae
Description: bacterial SSU rRNA
Rfam family: Bacterial small subunit ribosomal RNA
Source: RNAcentral
AGUGGCAAGCGUUAUCCGGAAUUAUUGGGCGUAAAGCGUCCGCAGGCGGCCUUUCAAGUCUGCUGUUAAAGCGUGGAGCUUAACUCCAUUAUGGCAGUGGAAACUGAUCGGCUUGAGUAUGGUAGGGGCAGAGGGAAUUCCCGGUGUAGCGGUGAAAUGCGUAGAUAUCGGGAAGAACACCAGUGGCGAAGGCGCUCUGCUGGGCCAUUACUGACGCUCAUGGACGAAAGCCAGGGGAGCGAAAGGGAUUAGAUACCCCUGUAGUCCUGGCCGUAAACGAUGAACACUAGGUGUCGGGGGAAUCGACCCCUUCGGUGUCGUAGCUAACGCGUUAAGUGUUCCGCCUGGGGAGUACGCACGCAAGUGUGAAACUCAAAGGAAUUGACGGGGGCCCGCACAAGCGGUGGAGUAUGUGGUUUAAUUCGAUGCAACGCGAAGAACCUUACCAGGGUUUGACAUCCUGAGAACCUCUUAGAAAUUUGAGGGUGCCUUCGGGAAUUCAGUGACAGGUGGUGCAUGGCU